Molecule: ribosomal RNA, 355 nt
Filed under: Xanthodius americanus
Lineage: Eukaryota; Metazoa; Arthropoda; Malacostraca; Decapoda; Xanthidae
Description: partial 12S ribosomal RNA
Source: RNAcentral
AUACUAAUAAACAUAAUUAACCUGAAUUAUUAAUAGAUAUUUUCUUUAAAUUUGAAGAAUUUGGCGGUGGUUUAGUCCUGUUAGAGGAACCUGUUUUUGAAUCGAUACACCACGCAGAAUCUUGCUCAUUCUAUUAAGUUUAUAUACCGUCAUUAACAGAUAAUUUUUAAAAAAUUAAUUAUUUAAGUUUUAAAAGAGUAAAAGAUAAAUUAGAUCAAGGUGUAGCCUAAUGAAAGAGUUAAAAUGGGUUACAAUAAAAUUUAUUUAUUAUGGAAUAAUUACGAAGGAAGAAUUUUAUGAAGGAGGAUUUAAUUGUAAUGUGAGUUUAACAAGCUGAAAAGAUAUUGGCUCUAAU